UAUACAGGGUGUAUAAAAAAAAACUGAACAGAUUUAAAAUUGCUCUCAAUUUCGCAAAACAGCUAUUUGUAUCCGGUUUUUUAUAUAUAUAGCCUCUUUGGGUACUUAUAAUGUAGAAUAAUGAGAAAGAUUUCUCGAACUCAAAUUUUGUGAACCAGGGGGGUGUGUCUUUUCCAACAAACUAAAAAUGGCUCGCGCACAAAAUUUAAAAGCUGCAAUCAUAUUUUGAGUUAACAGAUGGAAAAUUUGUCGGGAUUUUAAUUACUGUACAAAAUUUCAGACAAUUUGGUUUGGUUUAAGCCCCUUAACUAUUCACGCAAAGUUACAAUUUUCCCGAAAAAUCAGCUAUUAGCAUGCUUAAUUGUGCAUUUGCCUAAUUUGCAUAUGUCAGCAAUAUGCAAAUUAGGUAAACGCAUUAAUUAAGCAUGCGAAAGGCUGACUUUUUAGAACAAAAUGAAUAGUUAAAGGGCUUAAACUAAACCAAAUUGUCUGAAAUUUUGUACAGUAAUUAAAAACCCGACAAGUUUUCAAUCUAUUAACUCAAAAUAUGAUUACAGCUUUUAAAUUUUGUGCGCGAGCCAUUUUUAGUUUGUUGGAAAAGACACACACCCCUGGUUCACAAAAUUUGAGUUCGAGAAAUUUUUUUCAUUAUUUUACAUUAUAAGUACCCAAAGACGCUAUAUAUAU
Molecule: non-coding RNA, 687 nt
Organism: Paramuricea clavata
Lineage: Eukaryota; Metazoa; Cnidaria; Anthozoa; Malacalcyonacea; Plexauridae
Source: the annotation of a GenBank genome assembly